RNAcentral lists this ribosomal RNA (301 nucleotides) under uncultured bacterium. Its description in RNAcentral is "partial 16S ribosomal RNA". It matches the Rfam family "Bacterial small subunit ribosomal RNA", at positions 509 to 807 of the family's 1533-position model. The record is from RNAcentral.
CAGUCGCCACGGUAAUACGAAGGGGGCUAGCGUUGUUCGGAAUUACUGGGCGUAAAGCGCACGUAGGCGGAUAUUUAAGUCAGGGGUGAAAUCCCAGAGCUCAACUCUGGAACUGCCUUUGAUACUGGGUAUCUUGAGUAUGGAAGAGGUUAGUGGAAUUGCGAGUGUAGAGGUGAAAUUCGUAGAUAUUCGCAGGAACAUCAGUGGCGAAGGCGGCCAUCUGGGACAACACUGACGCUGAGGCACGAAAGCGUGGGGAGCAAACAGGAUUAGAUACCCGCGUAGUCCCUGUCUCUUAUAC